The sequence is a small nuclear RNA, 163 nucleotides long. Its record names the gene U1. It matches the Rfam family "U1 spliceosomal RNA". Rfam says of the family: U1 is a small nuclear RNA (snRNA) component of the spliceosome (involved in pre-mRNA splicing). Its 5' end forms complementary base pairs with the 5' splice junction, thus defining the 5' donor site of an intron. The record is from Ensembl.
UUACUUACCUGGCAGGGGAAAUACCGUGAUCAAGAAGAUGGUUCACCCAGGGCCAGAAUCAGCCAUUGCACUCCGGCUGUGCUGACCCCUGCAAAUUCCCCAAAUGUGGGAAUCUUGACUGCAUAAUUUCUGUAGUGGGGGACUGCGUUCGCACUCUACCCUG